AUGAAGACCAUUCCAGCAUCAGACUAUCGACAUUCCAGAAAGUGUCGACAUCACUCUGGUGAUGCACAGUGACUGAAGGGCCCCAGAGGAACCCUCAGGAGGCGAUUUAAUCACAUCAAUGUAAGGCUGAGUCUCCUUGGAAAGAAAAAGAAGAGGCUCUGGAUUGACAAAUAUUGGGAUAACAGAAAAAAAACUGCUACUGUCCGAACUAUCUGCAGUCAUGUUGAGAACAUGAAUAAGGGUGUAACGCUGGGCUUCCAUUGCAAGAGGACUUCUGUGGACGCUCACUUCCCCACCGAUGCCCUUAAUCAGGAGAAUGGGUCUUUGGCUGAAACCUGAAAUUUCCUGGGUGAAAAAGUACAACUGCAGGGCCUGGAUGAAGGGUGCUGCUUGUUCUUUUUUUUAAACCCAGAAGGAUGAAUCAAUCCUUGAAGGAAAUGGUAUUGAACUUGUUUCAAAUUCAGCAGCUUUGAAUCAGCAAAUCAUAACAGUUAAAAAAAAGGGCAUCAGAAAGUGCUUGCAUAGCAUCUAUGUCUGAAGAGGGAACAGAACAGCAGGCUGACGAGUGA
RNAcentral lists this long non-coding RNA (569 nucleotides) under Mus musculus (house mouse). RNAcentral's name for it is "long non-coding RNA chr2:26558624-26559193". The record is from RNAcentral. Lineage: Eukaryota; Metazoa; Chordata; Mammalia; Rodentia; Muridae.